Molecule: ribosomal RNA, 408 nt
Filed under: uncultured bacterium
Lineage: Bacteria
Description: bacterial SSU rRNA
Rfam family: Bacterial small subunit ribosomal RNA
Source: RNAcentral
UGGGGAAUAUUGCACAAUGGGCGCAAGCCUGAUGCAGCAACGCCGCGUGAGGGACGACGGCCUUCGGGUUGUAAACCUCUUUUAGCAGGGAAGAAGCGAAAGUGACGGUACCUGCAGAAAAAGCGCCGGCUAACUACGUGCCAGCAGCCGCGGUAAUACGUAGGGCGCAAGCGUUAUCCGGAAUUAUUGGGCGUAAAGAGCUCGUAGGCGGUUUGUCGCGUCUGCUGUGAAAUCCGGAGGCUCAACCUCCGGCCUGCAGUGGGUACGGGCAGACUAGAGUGCGGUAGGGGAGAUUGGAAUUCCUGGUGUAGCGGUGGAAUGCGCAGAUAUCAGGAGGAACACCGAUGGCGAAGGCAGAUCUCUGGGCCGUAACUGACGCUGAGGAGCGAAAGGGUGGGGAGCAAACAG